UCCCAAAGUCAUGGUUAAGUGGGAAACGAUGUGGGAAGGCCCAGACAGCCAGGAUGUUGGCUUAGAAGCAGCCAUCAUUUAAAGAAAGCGUAAUAGCUCACUGGUCGAGUCGGCCUGCGCGGAAGAUGUAACGGGGCUAAACCAUGCACCGAAGCUGCGGCAGCGACGCUUAUGCGUUGUUGGGUAGGGGAGCGUUCUGUAAGCCUGUGAAGGUGUGCUGUGAGGUAUGCUGGAGGUAUCAGAAGUGCGAAUGCUGACAUAAGUAACGAUAAAGCGGGUGAAAAGCCCGCUCGCCGGAAGACCAAGGGUUCCUGUCCAACGUUAAUCGGGGCAGGGUGAGUCGACCCCUAAGGCGAGGCCGAAAGGCGUAGUCGAUGGGAAACAGGUUAAUAUUCCUGUACUUGGUGUUACUGCGAAGGGGGGACGGAGAAGGCUAUGUUGGCCGGGCGACGGUUGUCCCGGUUUAAGCGUGUAGGCUGGUUUUCCAGGCAAAUCCGGAAAAUCAAGGCCGAGGCGUGAUGACGAGGCACUACGGUGCUGAAGCAACAAAUGCCCUGCUUCCAGGAAAAGCCUCUAAGCAUCAGGUAACAUCAAAUCGUACCCCAAACCGACACAGGUGGUCAGGUAGAGAAUACCAAGGCGCUUGAGAGAACUCGGGUGAAGGAACUAGGCAAAAUGGUGCCGUAACUUCGGGAGAAGGCACGCUGAUACGUAGGUGAAGCGACUUGCUCGUGGAGCUGAAAUCAGUCGAAGAUACCAGCUGGCUGCAACUGUUUAUUAAAAACACAGCACUGUGCAAACACGAAAGUGGACGUAUACGGUGUGACGCCUGCCCGGUGCCGGAAGGUUAAUUGAUGGGGUUAGCGCAAGCGAAGCUCUUGAUCGAAGCCCCGGUAAACGGCGGCCGUAACUAUAACGGUCCUAAGGUAGCGAAAUUCCUUGUCGGGUAAGUUCCGACCUGCACGAAUGGCGUAAUGAUGGCCAGGCUGUCUCCACCCGAGACUCAGUGAAAUUGAACUCGCUGUGAAGAUGCAGUGUACCCGCGGCAAGACGGAAAGACCCCGUGAACCUUUACUAUAGCUUGACACUGAACAUUGAGCCUUGAUGUGUAGGAUAGGUGGGAGGCUUUGAAGUGUGGACGCCAGUCUGCAUGGAGCCGACCUUGAAAUACCACCCUUUAAUGUUUGAUGUUCUAACGUGGACCCGUGAUCCGGGUUGCGGACAGUGUCUGGUGGGUAGUUUGACUGGGGCGGUCUCCUCCUAAAGAGUAACGGAGGAGCACGAAGGUUGGCUAAUCCUGGUCGGACAUCAGGAGGUUAGUGCAAUGGCAUAAGCCAGCUUGACUGCGAGCGUGACGGCGCGAGCAGGUGCGAAAGCAGGUCAUAGUGAUCCGGUGGUUCUGAAUGGAAGGGCCAUCGCUCAACGGAUAAAAGGUACUCCGGGGAUAACAGGCUGAUACCGCCCAAGAGUUCAUAUCGACGGCGGUGUUUGGCACCUCGAUGUCGGCUCAUCACAUCCUGGGGCUGAAGUAGGUCCCAAGGGUAUGGCUGUUCGCCAUUUAAAGUGGUACGCGAGCUGGGUUUAGAACGUCGUGAGACAGUUCGGUCCCUAUCUGCCGUGGGCGCUGGAGAACUGAGGGGGGCUGCUCCUAGUACGAGAGGACCGGAGUGGACGCAUCACUGGUGUUCGGGUUGUCAUGCCAAUGGCACUGCCCGGUAGCUAAAUGCGGAAGAGAUAAGUGCUGAAAGCAUCUAAGCACGAAACUUGCCCCGAGAUGAGUUCUCCCUGACCCUUUAAGGGUCCUGAAGGAACGUUGAAGACGACGACGUUGAUAGGCCGGGUGUGUAAGCGCAGCGAUGCGUUGAGCUAACCGGUACUAAUGAACCGUGAGGCUUAACCUUACAACGCCGAAG
This 1913-nucleotide ribosomal RNA is filed under the name Shigella flexneri. RNAcentral's name for it is "partial 23S ribosomal RNA". It matches the Rfam family "Bacterial large subunit ribosomal RNA", at positions 1045 to 2925 of the family's 2925-position model. The record is from RNAcentral. Lineage: Bacteria; Pseudomonadati; Pseudomonadota; Gammaproteobacteria; Enterobacterales; Enterobacteriaceae.